GAGGGGAAUAACGGCUGGAAACGGUCGCUAAUACCGCAUAACAUACUGGAGGGACAUCCCUUUGGUAUCAAAGAUUUUAUCGCUCGGAGAUGGGCUCGCGUCCGAUUAGGUAGUUGGUGAGGUAACGGCUCACCAAGCCGACGAUCGGUAGCCGGACUGAGAGGUCGAACGGCCACAUUGGGACUGAGACACGGCCCAGACUCCUACGGGAGGCAGCAGUGGGGGAUAUUGCACAAUGGGGGAAACCCUGAUGCAGCGACGCCGCGUGUGGGAAGACGGUCCUCUGGAUUGUAAACCACUGUCCCCAGGGACGAAGAUGACGGUACCUGGGGAGGAAGCUCCGGCUAACUACGUGCCAGCAGCCGCGGUAAUACGUAGGGAGCGAGCGUUGUCCGGAAUUACUGGGUGUAAAGGGAGCGUAGGCGGGACUGCAAGUUGGGUGUCAAAUCUACCGGCUCAACCGGUAGCCGCACUCAAAACUGCAGUUCUUGAGUGAAGUAGAGGCAGGCGGAAUUCCUAGUGUAGCGGUGAAAUGCGUAGAUAUUAGGAGGAACACCAGUGGCGAAGGCGGCCUGCUGGGCUUUUACUGAC
This 591-nucleotide ribosomal RNA is filed under the name uncultured bacterium. Its description in RNAcentral is "bacterial SSU rRNA". It matches the Rfam family "Bacterial small subunit ribosomal RNA", at positions 136 to 744 of the family's 1533-position model. The record is from RNAcentral.